Molecule: long non-coding RNA, 1639 nt
Organism: Homo sapiens (human)
Lineage: Eukaryota; Metazoa; Chordata; Mammalia; Primates; Hominidae
Product: long intergenic non-protein coding RNA 293
Source: Ensembl
ACUCUCCAGGCUUGGUACUGCACAGAACAGACAUUGUGACAUAUAUCUAGGCAAAUUGCCUAGAAGUGAAUCCCCUCUCCUGCUUAAGUCCUUCCCACAGAGAGCGGUUUGAUAUGUCACUGAAACCAGCAUCCAGGUGGUAUUGCUCCAUAUGCCUGAGACCCUAACAAAAGCCUAAUUACAACUCAUAUGCCUGGAGCCAGGACAUGUGCAGGAUGGUGAUGUAACUUUCCUCUCUGGAAUGGGUCCUGCACAAAGGAAUGAUAGUAACAUAUUGCAAAGCCAGACACACAGCCAUGAUGGUCCAAGUUAUAUUGGGAUUCAGCCAAUAGAAGAUAUUUUGCCUGUCAUCCCUAAGCUUAGGACAAUAGACUCUGCCAAGAGAGGGGAUUAUUACAUAUUGCAGAGCCCAGCACCUAGGUGGAGUGACUCUCAUCUUUUUCUUCUACCCCGUAUAUAGCCAGCUUGGUGACCUACUAUUUGAGUCUAUACCCAGGCCCAGACCACAGAUGAAAUUGUGCAAUAUGUGGAACAAACACCUAAACAAUAUAUAACACCUUCCUUGGCUCUGUCUACAAAGGGCACUUUUAUAUAUCACUGGGACCAUCAACCAGGUGAUGUUAAUUAUCUUCCUGAAACCUGUCUACAAAGAGAGUUGUGUCGUAUACCUAGGCCCGUCAUGUAAGUGAUGUCAGUCCCUUCUACUGCCUUGGCCCUGCACUUACAGUGCAUUGUGACACAUAACAAGGUACUGCACACAGACGAUGUGAUUCUCCUUUUUGGGUUCUGCCAAAAGGAAGCAUUGUAAUAAAUCGCUUGGCUCAGUACCAAGGUGAUGUUUCUUUGCUUUUGCCUGGGCCCUGAUAACAGGGAGAUUGUGAUCUAUUGCUGGGCCCAACAAAAAUGUGAGGUCACUCUCCAGCCGUGGUACUUCACAUAAGCGCCAUUGUGACAUGUAUCUAGGCCAAUUGCCUAGGUGAAGUGAGUUUCCUCUCUUGCCAAAGUCCUGCCCACAGAGGGGGUUUUGAUAUGUCACUGAAAUCAGCAUUCAGGUGAUGUGACUCUUCUGCCAGGGUCCUGCGUACUAGGUGGAUUGUGACAUCUCACUGGACCCGCAACCAUGUAGGUCAUGUGACUUUCAUGCCUUCUCACUGGCCACAGGUGAUGUUGUGCCAUAUAACUGAGACCGUAUCAAAAGCCUAAUAACAAGACGUAUGUCUGGAGCCCCGAUAUGCACAGGAUGGUGAUAUAACCCUCUUCUCUGGAAUGGGCCCCACACAAAGGAAGGAUAGUGACAUAUUGCAAGCCCAGGCACACAGGCCCAGAGCACAGUUGAAAUUGUGACAUAUGUACACCAAGCAACCAAGCAAUGUAUAACACCUCAUUUGGCAAUGGAAUCGAGGGCACUUUUACAUAUCACUGAGACCAGCGCCCAGCUGAUGUGAAAUAUUGGCCUGAACCCUGCCUACAAAAGCAUUGUGGCUUUUAUCUAGCUCCAUUACAUAAGUGAUGUGACUUCCUUCUACUGCCUUGGCCCUGCACUUAUGGUGAAUCGUGACACAAAAUUGGGUAGAGCAACCAGGUGAUGUGACCCUUUUUUUUUUGGCGGGGGGCCAGUCUGUCAAUAGGAAGCUUUAAC